RNAcentral lists this ribosomal RNA (376 nucleotides) under uncultured bacterium. RNAcentral's name for it is "bacterial SSU rRNA". It matches the Rfam family "Bacterial small subunit ribosomal RNA", at positions 524 to 898 of the family's 1533-position model. The record is from RNAcentral.
UACGUAGGGGGCGAGCGUUGUCCGGAAUUACUGGGCGUAAAGGGUGCGUAGGCGGCGAUGCAAGUCCAUUGUGAAAAGCCCGGGCUUAACCUGGGAGGUGCAGUGGAAACUGUAUGGCUUGAGUGCAGGAGAGGGAAGUGGAAUUCCUAGUGUAGCGGUGAAAUGCGUAAAUAUUAGGAGGAACACCAGUGGCGAAGGCGACUUUCUGGACUGUAACUGACGCUGAGGCACGAAAGCGUGGGGAGCAAACAGGAUUAGAUACCCUGGUAGUCCACGCCGUAAACGAUGGAUACUAGGUGUAGGGGGUAUCGACCCCCCCUGUGCCGGAGUUAACACAAUAAGUAUCCCGCCUGGGGAGUACGGCCGCAAGGUUGAA